AAUGUUCCCAGUGCAAACCCUUCUUCGAGAGCAAGACUGAAGCAUAAACGUGUCUUGUUUUCUCCUAGAUGUUGUAUACUUCUUCAGAACAAACAGUUUCCAAAUGCAGAGUUCUGUGAAAGGUUUAUCAUAGGGAGAUGGGGAAAUGGCACAUCUUCCUCUUACAAAGCAUGGGACAGCUGGAAACAAAAGUAUGUGUCACAGGAUAUUAGUGAUGGAAAAAAAAAAAGUAUUCAGGGCUGGUUGACUUUGUAUAUCCAAAGCCUCUUUUUUGGAGGACAGGAAUGUGAAAUACUGGAGCGUCCUGCAGAAAGGAGGCUUCCACAAAAAGACAAGGCUGAGGAUGCUAUUACAGCCUGGGACCAUGCCCAAAGCCAGGCACUUGCUGUUUGUCAGAAGGCUGCUGCUCCUCUUGUGUCUUUGGAGGAACUGCCUGAGGGAGCAGCCACCUACCUGAACCUUUGCUCCUGCCUUUCUUGACUUGUACAGAAGGAGGAGGAGCAGAGCACCUAGACGUGGCAUGGGACCUGCUCAGUCUGAUUUGCAGCUUAGAAAAGGCACUACUUUGAGAGCAUAACCCAGGCGAAGAAAACGCAUGAACAUGUCCACUCAUCAGCUGUUGAUGCUCCCUUCCUAAUGAGUGGUAAGAAACAGCCCAUGAUUCAUCUCAACCUUAAGGUAAGGGUAGGAUUUGGGUCCAGGAUUU
Molecule: long non-coding RNA, 706 nt
Filed under: Anser brachyrhynchus (Pink-footed goose)
Lineage: Eukaryota; Metazoa; Chordata; Aves; Anseriformes; Anatidae
Description: lncRNA (ENSABRG00000001292.1)
Source: RNAcentral